Saccostrea cuccullata (small rock oyster) is the source of this 1772-nucleotide RNA transcript. It is a transcript of the gene named GDP-D-glycero-alpha-D-manno-heptose dehydrogenase-like, with no coding region annotated. The record is from RefSeq and is a predicted model, not a curated record. Lineage: Eukaryota; Metazoa; Mollusca; Bivalvia; Ostreida; Ostreidae. The transcript is spliced from 4 exons.
UCUCUCUCUCUCUCUCUCUGUCUCUCUCUCUCCGCUUGUUUUACACACGUCGUGUGCAAGAACGAGGAAGAUAACCCCCUGACCAGGAUAUUAAUAGUAACGACCGCAUUUUUCACGCUUGUGCAGGCUUUGAAAAUCAACAAAAUCAUGUUUAAUUCAUGUGUUUGUGAUCUACAUUUACUCAGGAGCUGAGAAGAAAUUGGAUCUGAAUCCCACUGUCUGAAUAUUGUGUCGGCUGAGCAGGACAUCUCAUCAAAAUAACGCGGAUCUACUUAUUAUAUUUAAAUGUUCUGCGGAUUAUUAACCCUUCUAUGAGAAAACAUGAAGAGGUUGAACUCCACCACGUCGAAUUCAGAGACAACUGAGAAGAGAUAUUGUCAACGUGAAGAUGACCCGAUGGAAAGUAGCCCUGCCGUCCGGAGUGAAUCAAGUACAUGUACAUACGAUAUGGCGGAAUCAUCGCAAUCACGUGGUCAUGUUCUGUUAACCGGAGGAGCGGGAUACCUAGGCUCUACGCUUAUCCCUAUCCUGUUGGAGCAGGGCUAUGAGGUCACGAUUUAUGACAUCUUUUUCUGGGGACCCACCUCUAUGAUUUCAUAUGCAGCCAACCCUAAGUUCCAUAUCGUCCGCGGUGACAUCCGAGACAAACAGUUGCUUGCCGAACACAUGCACGACAAAGACGCCAUCAUUCAUCUGGCAGCCAUUGUGGGAUACCCUGCCUGUGACAAAGACCCGGAUUUAGCGAUUGACACCAAUGUCAUUGGGACCAGAAAUAUCGCCGAACUGAAAACACCGGAUCAGAAACUGAUUUACGCGAGUACAGGGUCUUGUUAUGGAGCAGUAGACGGAAUAUGUACGGAGGAGACGCAAAUCAGUCCCCUAACUCUGUAUGGAAGCAGUAAAGCCGACGCCGAAAAAAUGGUUCUGGCUGCGAAUGGAGUUGCCUUGCGUCUAGCCACAGUGUUUGGUCUCUCACCUCGACUUCGUCUCGACCUUCUCAUCAAUGAUCUGACGUACAAGGCCCUCACCCUCAAAGAAUUUGACUUGUAUGAAGGAUCUUUCAGACGCACAUUUUUGCACGUGAAAGAUGCUGCGCGUGCUUUUGCAUUUGCAUUGAACAAUUACGAAAAAAUGAAAGGUGAGGCCUUCAAUGUUGGCGACGAAGCCAUGAAUAUGACCAAAUCUCGCGUGGCUCAGCUUAUCCAGGAACACGUGAAGGGGUGCGUCAUUACGGAAUCUAAGUCGGGGGAAGACAAGGAUAAGCGAGAUUACGAGGUCUCCUAUCAGAAGAUCCGCAAGCUGGGCUUCGGCUCCUCCAUUUCUGUGGAGGAGGGAAUACGAGAUAUGCUAAAGAUCCUGCCACACAUUGAAACUACAGAUGUCUGCAAAUUCAAGAAUGUGUGAACAAAACUGAUGUACGAAAUACAGAGGAUGUAAUAUAUGUAUGCUGUUCAUAACUUUAAUACUCCUGGAAUUAUUUAAGAAAGCAAGUGAAACAAGAUUGAUGGUGUAUCCAUUAGAUAGACUGUCCUUUUUUUAUUCCCUUUUUUAUAUUGGUUUUUAGACUUCUGGUUUUUCCCUUUACAUUAUUUUAUGAGUAUUUAAAAUUUAUUCGCUUGGCUGUUUAUGUAAGGAAAGCUUAUUAAUGUGUUCUGACAUUUGCGCUUAAAGUGCUUAGUUUACUUUCGUUCGUAAAUUGAUAUCCAGUCAUCAGUUAUUUCUUUCCUGGUGUGUACUGUGUCUUUAUGGAGUAAAUAAAGGUUUUAAUUCUU